Molecule: ribosomal RNA, 450 nt
Filed under: uncultured bacterium
Lineage: Bacteria
Description: bacterial SSU rRNA
Rfam family: Bacterial small subunit ribosomal RNA
Source: RNAcentral
GAUGAACGCUGGCGGCGUGCUUAACACAUGCAAGUCGAACGAAGCACUUGAAUGGAAUUCUUCGGAAGGAAGCUCAAGUGACUGAGUGGCGGACGGGUGAGUAACGCGUGGGUAACCUGCCUCAUACAGGGGGAUAACAGUUAGAAAUGACUGCUAAUACCGCAUAAGCACACGUGAUCGCAUGAUCGAGUGUGAAAAACUCCGGUGGUAUGAGAUGGACCCGCGUCUGAUUAGCUAGUUGGUGGGGUAACGGCCCACCAAGGCGACGAUCAGUAGCCGGCCUGAGAGGGUGAACGGCCACAUUGGGACUGAGACACGGCCCAAACUCCUACGGGAGGCAGCAGUGGGGAAUAUUGCACAAUGGGGGAAACCCUGAUGCAGCGACGCCGCGUGAAGGAUGAAGUAUUUCGGUAUGUAAACUUCUAUCAGCAGGGAAGAAAAUGACGGUAC